Molecule: ribosomal RNA, 380 nt
Filed under: uncultured eukaryote
Lineage: Eukaryota
Description: partial 18S ribosomal RNA
Rfam family: Eukaryotic small subunit ribosomal RNA
Source: RNAcentral
CAAUAGCGUAUAUUAAAGUUGUUGCAGUUAAAAAGCUCGUAGUUGGAUUUGUGGCGUACGGUGUGUUCCGGGCACUUGUUGUCUGAGUAACCUGCUGUUGCCAUCCUUGGGUGGAACCUGUGUGGCAUUAGGUUGUCGUGCAGGGGAUGCCCAUCAUUUACUGUGAAAAAAUUAGAGUGUUCAAAGCAGGCUUAUGCCGUUGAAUAUAUUAGCAUGGAAUAAUGAGAUAGGACCUUUUUGCUAUUUUGUUGGUUUGCGCAAGAAGGUAAUGAUUAAUAGGGACAGUUGGGGGUAUUCGUAUUCCAUUGUCAGAGGUGAAAUUCUUGGAUUUUUGGAAGACGAACUACUGCGAAAGCAUUUACCAAGGAUGUUUUCAUUAA